AACGAACGCUGGCGGCAUGCCUAACACAUGCAAGUCGAACGAGACCUUCGGGUCUAGUGGCGCACGGGUGCGUAACGCGUGGGAACCUGCCCUUAGGUUCGGAAUAACUCCCCGAAAGGGGUGCUAAUACCGGAUAAUGUCUUCGGACCAAAGAUUUAUCGCCUUUGGAUGGGCCCGCGUUGGAUUAGCUAGUUGGUAGGGUAAAAGCCUACCAAGGCGACGAUCCAUAGCUGGUCUGAGAGGAUGAUAAGCCACACUGGGACUGAGACACGGCCCAGACUCCUACGGGAGGCAGCAGUGGGGAAUAUUGGACAAGGGGCGAAAGCCUGAUCCAGCAAUGCCGCGUGAGUGAUGAAGGCCUUAGGGUUGUAAAGCUCUUUUACCCGGGAUGAUAAUGACAGUACCGGGAGAAUAAGCUCCGGCUAACUCCGUG
This 433-nucleotide ribosomal RNA is filed under the name uncultured bacterium. Its description in RNAcentral is "partial 16S ribosomal RNA". It matches the Rfam family "Bacterial small subunit ribosomal RNA", at positions 29 to 507 of the family's 1533-position model. The record is from RNAcentral.